Molecule: small RNA, 572 nt
Filed under: Pan troglodytes (chimpanzee)
Lineage: Eukaryota; Metazoa; Chordata; Mammalia; Primates; Hominidae
Description: processed transcript
Source: RNAcentral
UUACAAGGGAAAGAGAUUUGGUAGAAGGAAAGCAAACUGCACUUACAAAUAGCUUAGGCGGCUGGAGGCUCAGAAUCAAGAAAGAAGAAAAUCCAAGUCAGGAGCAGGAAAAGGUAAACUGACUCGCAGUCUUGCUGUCUGUGAGGAAUCUUCUGCCAGACCAGGAGGUGAAAGUCUUCAGGAUCAGACUCUCUGAAAACUGCAAAUGGAAAGGAAUUCAAAAGAAUUUAGAUUAAAAGUUAAAUAAAAAGUAGGCACAGUAGUGCUGAAUUUUCCUCAAAGGCUCUCUUUUGAUAAGGCUGAACCAAAUAUAAUCCCAAGUAUCCUCUCUCCUUCCUUGUUGGAGAUGUCUUACCUCUCAGCUCCCCAAAAUGCACUUGCCUAUAAGAAACACAAUUGCUGGUUCAUAUGAAACUUAGGAAAUAGUGAAUAAGGUGCAUUUAACUUUGGAGAAAUACUUUUAUGGCUUUGGUGGAGAUUUCUCAAUACUGCAAAAGUUGUCCAGAAAUGAAUCUGAGCUGAUGGUGACUUUAAUAUUAUUAAUAUAUCACUGCAUAUUUUUACCCUUAUUU